RNAcentral lists this ribosomal RNA (643 nucleotides) under uncultured Actinomycetes bacterium. RNAcentral's name for it is "bacterial SSU rRNA". It matches the Rfam family "Bacterial small subunit ribosomal RNA", at positions 232 to 885 of the family's 1533-position model. Lineage: Bacteria; Bacillati; Actinomycetota; Actinomycetes. The record is from RNAcentral.
CGCGGCCUAUCAGCUUGUUGGUGGGGUGAUGGCCUACCAAGGCGGUGACGGGUAGCCGGCCUGAGAGGGCGACCGGCCACACUGGGACUGAGACACGGCCCAGACUCCUACGGGAGGCAGCAGUGGGGGAUAUUGCACAAUGGGCGAAAGCCUGAUGCAGCGACGCCGCGUGGGGGAUGAAGGCCUUCGGGUUGUAAACCCCUUUCAGCAGGGAAGAAGCGAAAGUGACGGUACCUGCAGAAGAAGCGCCGGCUAACUACGUGCCAGCAGCCGCGGUAAUACGUAGGGCGCAAGCGUUGUCCGGAAUUAUUGGGCGUAAAGAGUUCGUAGGCGGUUUGUCGCGUCUGCUGUGAAAUCCCGAGGCUCAACCUCGGGACUGCAGUGGGUACGGGCAAACUAGAGUGUGGUAGGGGAAACUGGAAUUCCUGGUGUAGCGGUGGAAUGCGCAGAUAUCAGGAGGAACACCGAUGGCGAAGGCAGGUUUCUGGGCCACAACUGACGCUGAGGAACGAAAGCAUGGGGAGCGAACAGGAUUAGAUACCCUGGUAGUCCAUGCCGUAAACGGUGGGCACUAGAUGUGGGGGCCAUUCCAUGGUUUCCGCGUCGCAGCUAACGCAUUAAGUGCCCCGCCUGGGGAGUACGG